Long non-coding RNA from Sphaeramia orbicularis (orbiculate cardinalfish), 188 nucleotides. RefSeq lists it as uncharacterized. NCBI's taxonomy places the organism in Eukaryota, Metazoa, Chordata, Actinopteri, Kurtiformes, Apogonidae. The transcript is spliced from 4 exons. The record is from RefSeq and is a predicted model, not a curated record.
UUUUCUUCCAGUUGUUUUGUAGAACAGAGAAAAAGAGAGGAAUUUAAGAUUGACAGGUUUUUACGAAAUAAGGCACUAAGAAUGUACAUCAAUAAGAGAUUUAGGAUGUUGAACAUGAACUAUGAACUGGAACACACUGAACAACAACUAUUUGAAUUUUGGCCUUGUAGUUUUUGUUUUGGGGCUCU